AGCUCCCGCUUGCGCAGGGUCCAGGAAAGGGUCCGACCACUUUGGGUCUAUAAGGUAUAGACCCGAAGUGGUCGGACCCUUCCCUGGACCCUGCGCAAGCGGGAGCU
Triticum aestivum (bread wheat) is the source of this 107-nucleotide non-coding RNA. NCBI's taxonomy places the organism in Eukaryota, Viridiplantae, Streptophyta, Magnoliopsida, Poales, Poaceae. The record is from Rfam.